CCCAGGCUUGGGUCAGAUCCCCGUCCACAGGCAUUCACCUGGGCGGCAUGACCUCAGGCUCCCGGAUCGAGAGCCAGACCAUUUCUGGCUUCCCUUCUUCUCCUUCUGGUCAGUACCCAGCCACCCACCUGACCACCAAGGGGGACCACCCUCCGGCUCUGACCCUUCUUGACCUGCGCGUACACGCAGCCAGGGCCCAUUCGUCUGUGGGCUGUGACUUUCGUGGCCGACGGGGGAUUUGCCAGUGGUGUUGUGUGCAGCCAGGAGGAUCUGUGGGCUUUUGGCUGAAGAAACUAGAGAGAGAGAGCUGGCACCGAGCAGGGAGGAGGAUCAGAAAGGUACAAGCAGACUCCCCACUGAGCAGCCUGACACGGGGCUCAAUCCCAGGAUCCCAGGAUCAUCACCUGAGCUGGAGGCAGAUUGAGCCACCCAGGCGCCCUGCACCCUCACUUCUGAAACUGUCUUGUUUAUUGGUGUUUGCUGUCUGCACACCCACCUGGAUCAGCUUCUGGAGAGAAGGCUGUUGUGUCCGCCUUGCUCCCUCAGGGCCUGGAGGAGGGCUGUGUCCGUAGUAGGUGCUCAGGAUUUCAGUGAGUGCCUCUGACCCCACACAUGGGUGGUUGGCCUUUCCCACUGCCCCCCAGGAAGCCCUAUUAUUUGUCCUAACAACCCCAGCUGUUCUGUGCAACCACUGAAGCGGUCUUGCUCACUUGGUCCCACUGUCAUCACUGAGGAGGAGAGUCCCCAGCCGAUGAGGCUGAGGCCUGGAACUGCUGUGGGAUGUGCUCAAGGUCACUCACCGGCCAGGGGCAGGCAGAGAUCAAGAGGAUGGGAAUGGGAGGGGAUGGCCAACAGCCAAGGGCUCAGCACCUAUCAGGUAAGCCUGUCCCUGAAAAGGGCUUUCUGUGUGUCACAUGUGCGGGGACACAGAGGGUGUGGUGACCCCCAUCACCUGGAGGUGUAUCUGUGAUGCCAGAUGCCUGUGUACACGUCCUCAGCCGCAGAGCACACAGAGUAUUCUUUCCGGGCCUUAGGGGCGAGCCUUUGUUCGCUGGACCCCACAUCCCAUCAUUCUGGCCAUGCCCACAACUGAGCAGAGCCCUGGACAGGGAGCCAGGCCCAGCCAGGCCGUCUCAGGCCAGCAAAACCCUUCCUACCGGGGCUGGGGGCAGCUGGGCUCCAGGGCUGAUAUAAGGGUAGUGGGGAGGCCCCCAGCUGAGAGGCCAAGGCAUGAGGGUGCGGCUCCUACCCAGCACAGCGUCCUCUCCAGAAUCUGAAGAGAAUCCCCCAGAGACAGAGCCCAGGUCCCAUGGCAGGCCCAGCUGGAGAGGCCUGGUGGCCUUGGACCAGGUCCUGACCUUCUGUGGGCUUGACCCCCCAAAGGCCGUGGGGAACCCUGGAGAGGAGACCCCAUAGGAAGAGGGAGAGGCGUCCCUGCCCUCAGAAGCUGAGAAUGAAGCCCUGGGGCGUCCAGCAGGAUGCGGCCCACUCACCCCCUGGCGGCCCGGGCCUGAAGUGCAGCUCCAGCCACCCGGGAGCCAGGACCCGGAGAACCCCACGCCAGAAGGUCCCGGGCAGCCAACAGGGUCUUUGAGGCCUGCUCCCCCAGGGCUCAGAUGGGCCUCCAGAAAUGCUUGGCAGACGUCACAGGAGGGCCCCAGGCUUGGAACUCGUCUGUGCACCCCAAACCUGUCAAGACUCAUAGAACUUCAGCCACCUGUUCUGGCCUCCCACCUGGGAAUUUGGGGACCUCACCCCACUCGUGUGGACACCAUGCUAACUAGGAACCAGAGGGGCACGGGCCAUCUCAAAUGCACUUGGCAUAGCACCACACACAUGGCACCAGGCCGUCCCCAGCUAGCACUACCAGUUCCCAGAGGUCACUAGAACCCAGGUGGACAGCAGGGAGCACCCAGAGCUGCCCCAGCUGGGCUCCAGGGGCCUCAAGAGGUCAGAGGCAAAAAUCUACUUGGCCCAAGGCUGUGCAGCAGCUCUGGGAGGGAAGGAGCCUAUCAGUGAGCCCAGGAGAGCACUAGCACACCCCGAACGCCAGGGUCAAGGCCUAGUCAAUCAGUGGGGUCAGUCAGAAACCAGAGGCCUGGAAGCUCAAGAGCUUGGAGUGGCUGAGCUGCUCAGCAGUGUUACAGGUGCCCAGGGUGGAGGCUGAACCACACAACUCCAGAAUAAAGGGGCCCAAUGGCUUUACCACCUGAGCUCAGUGUGUGUUCACAGGAGUGAUGAAGCAGCACCUUCCUCAGUGUAAAUACUGUGUCCCACAGAUCCAGGUGCUUCUGCAUGGCACCCACCCCCUAAUGUGUUGAUGGUGGCUAUGGGUUAGAAAAGAACCUGAACAGGCCACAACUGGAACCCAAUCCUAUGUGGAUUAGUGACAUUAUUCUUACACUCAAUACUGCCAGGGUCGGCCCUGCCAUGCCCAUCAGCAACUCCAAAGACAACAGGGAACAUCAAAUCCUCACAGCCUCCUUCCUACUGUGCUACCACCCAAGCUGUGCAAACACAACUGACGACCUCUACAGCAGAGAGCCAGCUGCCUCACCUGGGUGACACAGCUGCCAAGCCUGCUGCCCUGAGGUGUACUCUGACAGCCAUGGGGCAGACCCCAGCUCAGUUUUUAGCUCCCGGCGCACCCAAUCUGCUCCAGGCACAGAACCAGACAAGUGCUAUGGGAAAAAGGAAACCCUUAGCUAAGCCCAGAGGCCAAGGGCAACAUCUCAAUAAAUACAGGCUCCUGUGGUCACAGCGAAAGCAAACAGAACUGGGAAGCAAAUCAGAGGCAGAAGUCACUGGAAAAUAAUUUUUAUUGAGAUCCCACCAGCUGCACAAUCUGGUCCUGACAUUAAGCUCCUUCUUCCUUUGCAAUUCGAUCUUUCUUAAGUGGUCCCUGCAGAGAAAGGACAGUGGGCAAGGUCAGAGGGAGAGAGCACCUGGGCACAAAUACCCCACCCCUAAUUGGCUCCCCGGUGCAGACACAAGCUCAGGAGCCAGCCCAGCUGUGCCUUCUGCACUAGCAACCAUAUGGGCAGGUGGCAAGCUGAUGGGGCCCAUCGCCCAGGAGUCAUCCCAACCCCAGGCCAAGGGUGACAAGGGAGAGGUGUGUACCAUGAAUGCUUUCUUCUCCUCCACAGUCUGGAAUCGGCCAUGGCCAAACUUGGAGGUGGUGUCAAUGAAUUUCAGGUCAAUCUUCUCUAGGGCACGCCGUUUGGUCUGCACCAGCAAGGACUAUGGGCCAAAAAAGCAAAGCUUAAUUACGAAGUGCCAGGCCUUCCUUCCCCACACAUCUUGGCUUGCAGGCCCCUCAACAAAGCUCAGAGAGGACCAACGGUCGGUCUCCAUCGGGCCCUCCAAAGCCUAGAGCAACCCCCUCCCACAACACCUCUAGGCCAGCUGGUUUGCCCAAGAUGACCCCUGCCUGACGACUGAGCAGGAAACACGAAAAAGCAGAGGCAGACAGCUAUGCCAAGCCAGACUGGGAACUUCCUCCUCCCAGGACUUCAAAGCUGCUUUCUGAGGAAUGGCAAAUCCCCUUUUCCUUUGAACUCCCCUCCCAAGUGUGGUGCUAUGCUCCAUGUCUGGGAACGGUCAAUGCUCCCUCUUCAGGAAGGCUGAGCACCACAUGCCUACACCCCACCCACCAGGAAGGGGCCCCAGCCUCACCUUGCGCAGAGUCAGCACUCGCUUCUUGGUGCCCACCACACAGCCUUUCAGCAUCACAAAGUCAUUGGUCACUUCACCGUAGUGGACAAAGCCACCCUGGAGAAACCAAGGCAUCAGGUCAGGUCAUGCACAGGGGUAGAGGUCAGUCCGACACUACACAUGCCGCCCCUGACGACCAUGGGGCUGUUCUCAGAAGGAAGGCAGCAAGGAAUGUUUCCGCAGUCUGACUCGGGCGCUGCGCCCAGCGCUCAUUCCAGAGCCUCAUCACCGAACAGCUGGGUCAGAGACCUCCCUCAACCAGUUGACCCAAGUCUUGCCGUUUACAAGGGACUAACAGCUGGAAGCGAUCUGCGCACAGGACCAGGGAUCAGUUAACACGGCCUCCAUGCGCUAACCAGGACCUGAGAGCACCAGGGUUGCACCGCACAGGUGAGACCCAGAGCAGAUUAGUCCCUAGGAAUGAGGGGGAAUUCCCCCACAAGAGCCAGGGCUUUGGGGGCUCAGAAGACCUCGCAGGCUACUCACCAGGGGGUUGAUGCUCUUGUCAGACAAAUCGUAAUCAGUGGAAGCGUUGUUCUUGAUCAGCUUGCCAUCCUUGAUGAGAUAGCCCUGGCCAAUCUUGUAUAUCUAAAUGAAAGGAACGUUUUCACACUGCAAGGGGGAAUACUCAGGUGUCCCUAGGCAGGCUAGCUGCAGGAAGGACAACCAAUGCAGACAAGUGGCAUCAAACCCAGCAGCAGGCUAAUCUGCCAAGGACUCUGGAAAAAAUAGCUACCAGUCCUAAUGACGGGGUACCCCAGGCUUGGGGCAGAGAGCAAAUCAGCUGGGCUGAGACACUACCAUCUGAUGGAAACAAAGCCCAGGGGCCUCCCCAAACCCCCGAGGCAAAGGCUCUCUACCCAGGGCACUCUGGGGGUCAGCUACACCAGAGCCACCUUCAAUAAACUACACCUUACAGAUCACACCCAGGAACCAAAAACCAUGCCCAUCAGAAAAGAUGAGCAGCUCAAGUGCAUAUGCAUUCCAGAAGCUCCCCUACCAACUGAGGAGUGCUACUCCCAACACCGGCCUAGUCUUUCCCUUCUCCGCGUCAAGGGGAACUCCCUCCUUGGCACCUCACCUUCUUGUUGAUCUCAGUGCGGUGAUGGUAGCCUUUCUGCCCAGCCCGAGCCACAGAGAAGGCCACUCGGGCAGGAUGCCAGGCUCCAAUACAGGCAACCUUGCGCAGGCCCCGGUGGGUUUUGCGGGGUAGCUUCUUGGUGUGCCAGCGGCUGGUGACCCCUGAAAAAAACACAAGCUUGUUUCAGGCUGUCUGGCACUUGCGCCAUUGGCCUCUUUCCUGUCAUAAACACCCAAUGUGAGUUCAUGCAUUUGUGGUGCUUGUAUAUGAACAUUCAACAGCUACUAACUAGAUCAGUUUGAGGGACAGGUGGGUUUAACAUACGUUACCCUCAAAUACCCAUGUCCUCCCCCUCCUCUCACAUUUCUUCAGGUUUAUUACCUGCCUAGACAUAAACCUGUUCUCAAACCUGUAACAAAAAGUCUUGGGAGAAUCAGCCCAGAACUAGAAUGGGAACACGUGCACUUCACAGCAUUCACCAAGUUCCUCACUGGCAGAAGCCAGUGAGGAGGGACUCAAUUUCCAGGUCCCCUCUGCCUCCUGCAGUGGGCUGCAUGUGGCAAAAGGGUUCUUAAGUAUGGCCAGAAUUCUCUCCCAGCCCUCCAUAUUUCCCUCCCACCUGGCCACAAGGCUGUUCUCAGAAGGCAGGCAAGGAGACAAAUUCCUGCACAAUCUUACUCCAGCCACGUGCCAGUGCUUAUUCCAGAGCCUCAUCACCAAAGCUCCAGACAUGGAAGCCCUGAGUUUUAUGGCAACCUGGGCCAUCGCAAACUCACCUUUGUAGCCUUUGCCCUUGGUGACACCGAUGACAUCAAUCAUCUCAUCUUGCCCAAACACCUGGUUCACAGGCACCUGCUGUUCCAGCCUCUCACGGGCCCAGUCGAGCUUCUCGGCCACUGUGCCUCCGUUCACCUGGAUCUCCAUGAGGUGGGCCUUCUUCUGGCGCAGAGGAAGCAGGCGCAUCUAGGAGGGAACCAAUACAGCUCAGAUCCCUGAGCUUCGAGAUCUUCCAUGGGAAGGAAGUCAGGGUGGGCAGAACAGUUUGGCAACCCUGAACCUCAUGUUUCCCCAUUGGCAAAAAUGAAGCCGCCUUCCUGUGUUAACUCCCCACUGGGUACAAGUCCCCUUUCCAACUCAUACACUGUGGGAAAGUGGAAUAGCACCUCGGUCGGAAUAGAAGCUGCAAAGAUUAAGGGAAAAAUAUUCAAGCCUAAAGCCUUUCAUUAAAGGUGGCCCAGUGCUGUUCUAUAGAAUUUUCUUCAGAAAUGGUCAGAUUACAAAUCUGAGCUGAUCCAGUCAUUGCUAACCCCAGGGAAACUGAACCCUUGGGAAUAAGAUGUAAACCUAGAAUGACAGCUCAGAUCAACUGUAGAGGAAGAAAUAGUCAUUCUAACCCAGUCAGGCAAAGACUUAUUCAGUUCAUAGCAAAUAAGAUUUUCAGGGUAAAUGACAAGUGUCCUCCUCCAGACUCCUCUCAGCUAUGCAUUUUACAGUUAAGGAGUUCUGCGUUCCUUCAGCCCCUUUUCCUAAAAUGGGGCACGGCUUCAAUAAAGACUAGAGACACACUGCCCUCUGCUGGCAUCAGAAAAACCAACCCACAAGCCUAGAGGCACUACAGGCUUCCUUCUCAGACCAACUGUCUUAACCUGGCCCCAGAAAUCAGGGGCAGGGCAGGCGCUGCACUGUGCUGCUGUGGAACUUUGAGCAACCCCCCAGGCUGCUUACUGGCCCAUGCAUCCAGACUUUAAAUCCUGAGACCACACAAGGUCAGUGUGAGAAAAGGGAUAAUUCACAGCAGGUAACAAGGUGCCAUCUGAUACCCCAAGCUGUGGGGCAGUCACCUUCCUUUUGUGCACCUUGUGGGGUGCUCACCUGGGUGUGGGCGAUGACACGGAUCACCUGGCAAUACUUCUUCAUGCUGUUGAAGUCCUUCUCCAGCUGCUUCUUGCCAUCGUCAUCCUGCCACUUCUUGCAAUAUUUGGUGAAGGCCUUCUUCUUAGACUUAUGCCUUCAGGAGCAGAGCAGAGUUGGGGACGGGGCCGGGUGCAGGCCUUCAUCACCCCUCCAAAGGGGCGAGCGGAAGGCACACUGGCACCACAUGGGGAUGGGGCUCAUUGCCGGCUUCUAAGGAGCCUUUUCCACCGGCAAGCGGAGCCUGGAUGGAGCUCAUCGGGCAGAGCCGAGCGGAGCUGAGCAGAGGUCCACAAAAUUAAUGCAAGUCACAAGCAUUCAAAUACACACUAAUUCUUGCUCCGGCUUAGCCAUUAACCCAACCACACUCCUGGACAGAAGGACUGGGGAGUGUUACACUGCACCCCUCAGUUUCUAAACACCUCCCAGCAACUAAGAACACUGAAUACCAAGAGUCCUCACCCAACACCUAACACUAAGCUGAACGUGAAGGUCUAGAGGUGCUGCUCAAGGUCUGCCCUCACAAUUUGUUCUGGCAACUAAACCAGACACCAGAGCAGCUCUUCCCCACCAGAGUGAAGCCCAGCACAGGGUACUUGCUCUCCUCAUCCAGAGUGCACGGCCUCCUUGUCCCUUACCAGUUCUUAUAGAAGCGCCUUUUGCAUUCGUCACUGAUGUGCUCAGCAAAGAUGGUCUUAAAGGUACGGAGGCCUCGAGGGGUUUCCACAUAGCCAACGAUGCCCACAACCACCAUGGGUGGGGUCUCCACAAUGGUCACAGCCUCCACCACUUCCUUCUUGUUCACCUCUGCCAAAAAGAGUGGUCAGACUUGAGUGGGACAGCUAAAUCCCCAAUAAGGAAUAAGCGUUUUUGCAGAAGUGUGAAAUCCCCAUCUGGGUCAAGAGUGCAACCAGCUUCAGCUAGCAGGGGACUUUUCAGAAAUGGGGUCCUUACAGGCCGUCUAGACUCCCAGGCUUGUCCUUACUCCAUACAUUAGAAUUCUAACUCAACAAAACUCUUUCGCUGGCUCGUUUUAAUUCUCAUCUAUCACAAAUCUCUGGGGCACUUGCGUGGCUCAGUUGGUUAAGCAUCUGCCUUUACCUCAGGUCAUGAUCCCAGGGUCCGGGGAUUGGGCUCCCUGGUCAGUGGGGAGUCUGCUUUCUCUCUCCCCCUGCUCACUCUGAGCACUCUUACAAAAAGUUAAAAAAUUUACUCGUAACGCUGACUUCAGUACAUCCCCCCACCUAAAGCAACACCAGCCACCCGCAGUCUUUAGUGUUAAUCAAACCCCAUGGGGAUUCCCACCCCGUCAAGUCUGCCCUCUCGGGACUACCGUCCAGGCCACCCCCAACCAGCGUGAAGGAUCCCGCUUGUACUCACUGGAUCCUGGCCGGUCCACCUCCCGCACGAUGUGAGUCAUGCCGGCCUUGUAGCCCAGGAAGGCUGUGAGGUGGACAGGCUUGGAAGAGUCAUCCUUGGGGAAGCUCUUCACCUUCCCACGGUGGCGGCUGCUGCGUUUCCGAGGCAAGAAGCCCAGGGACCCAUGCCUGGGAGCGGAGAACUUCCUGUGGGACUGGGAGAAAAGAUAACAUGAGCACUCCCAACCCCUCUUAUGUAGCUCACUCCUGAUGCCGGGCUUGCCUCAGUGGCGAAGGAUUCUCCACAAUGCCGAGCCCGCGCCAGAGGCCCUGCGCCCCAGCUAACAAGUGUGCUUACGGGCUGGACUGGGUUCACCUUGCACAAGGCCCUGCGGCCUAAACUGAAUCUUUACCUCAAAACCUCAUUUUGUAACUUUAAGAUGGAACCUCCCCUUCUCUAAAUGGGCCAAAAGCACACCAGGUGAGGUCAUUAAGUCACAGGUGCCUCUGCCAUCCAGUCAGCCCAGAUCCUGACAAGGGGGCUGCGGGGACCAAGGGGCUCCCCGCCGGCCCCAGACACGAAGGCCACCACAGAGCCAAAUCAGAACGUGACAAUCAGCACAGAGGAUCUGUCCGCCCGUCAGAAAGUUCAUCAUCUGUGGCUCCUAGGACUCGAGGCCUCACCUCACGGGUGGUACCGGCCUCCCACGCAGGUCAGCGCGGGGCCUCGGCAACCCCAGCCCGGGCUCCCCUCCCACGUGCCGGCACAAGCCCAGCGCCCCGACUCAAGGUCCUCCCGGCCCACGUACCUACGAACUCCAGCUUACACUAGCACCAACUCAGUGAGCUCGAGCCCCAGGUAUUAUCCGGGACUCGAGACCUCCAUACCGGAGCCCGCCCCGCGGGCGUUCGCCAGCCGCCUGGCGGGCCCCAAACCAACCACAAGCCUCACGCGUUUUCAGAAAAUAGGCCUCACUGCGGAUCGCGCUAAGCGCCCCGCGCUCUUGGAGCAGGCCCCCGGCCCCCGCCGAGGUGAGAUGGCGGCGCUGCGCCGCGGAUUGAGCCCCACCGCCGCGCCAACGAGGAGGAAACCGCCAUGAUACGUACCAUCGUGCCGCCCAGUACAGCCGGUAGAGGUCGGGCCACGAGCGACCAGUCAUUUAUAUAGCCCGGCCUGGGCCCGCCCCUUCCGGCGUACGAGCGCGCGCCCGCGGGGGACGCUGGGUCGGGGGGCGGGUGCAGGCCGCCAUUUCCACGCUCGCUCGUCCUCGCCUAGCGUUUGCUUCGGAGCGGGACGCCGUCCACGGGGGGCGGGGACUAGAAACUACGGCAAGCGGCUGGGUUCAAACUUCGCGAAGCGUCGCGGAAACGCUGGCAGAGCUUUGGAGCGCGACGACUGUAGGGGUUUGGGUAGCUGCCAAAUUUGGUCGAAGACGCCGUUACGCUGAAGCUACGCGGCUGCGUCUUUUUCCUGUGAGAUGCAGUCACCUCUAGGAUUGGAUAACCCGGCUGCGGGUUUCAGUGCCGAAGCGCCCGCACACGCCUCUCCGGGUUCCGUCCCACGCAGCGGAUCUGCGGUGUUGCCGUUUGGCGGGCACGCUGAGCUGGGACGAGUUGCCCCGCUGCCACCUGCUCAAAGUUGGAAAGAAAAGAGCGAAAGCCCGGUUUCCUGGCUCCCAGCCCAAAGCUGCUUCCCCGACACCCAACCUGCCUUCAGUGCGUUCUGAUUUCCGACGUGCGCCCCCGGAGCCCCAUCUCGGCCGCUGCUCCCGGUGUCCAGCUGCUGUGGUCCUGCUUCUGGGGUCGCUGUGGCGCCUAAACGACCUCAGGACCUGCGGGGACGGGUCCGGCUGCCCAGCCCCGGAGCCUGGCCCUGCAGCCCCAGGGACCCUCGCAGAUGUCGCUUGCGCACCCGCCCCCACGCUCUCCCACCCCCGGGGCCCAGGAGGCUCCUAAGCGUUCUCCCUACCUCCAGGCUUGCCUUUCCAAAUCUUUUUAAGAAUCAAAUGUCAUCUUGUUA
Canis lupus familiaris (dog) is the source of this 10084-nucleotide long non-coding RNA. RefSeq lists it as uncharacterized. The transcript is spliced from 3 exons. Lineage: Eukaryota; Metazoa; Chordata; Mammalia; Carnivora; Canidae. The record is from RefSeq and is a predicted model, not a curated record.